This 465-nucleotide ribosomal RNA is filed under the name Vreelandella stevensii. RNAcentral describes it as "partial 16S ribosomal RNA". It matches the Rfam family "Bacterial small subunit ribosomal RNA", at positions 338 to 795 of the family's 1533-position model. Lineage: Bacteria; Pseudomonadati; Pseudomonadota; Gammaproteobacteria; Oceanospirillales; Halomonadaceae. The record is from RNAcentral.
CCUACGGGUGGCUGCAGUGGGGAAUAUUGGACAAUGGGGGCAACCCUGAUCCAGCCAUGCCGCGUGUGUGAAGAAGGCCCUCGGGUUGUAAAGCACUUUCAGUGAGGAAGAACGCCUGGUGGUUAAUACCCAUCAGGAAAGACAUCACUCACAGAAGAAGCACCGGCUAACUCCGUGCCAGCAGCCGCGGUAAUACGGAGGGUGCGAGCGUUAAUCGGAAUUACUGGGCGUAAAGCGCGCGUAGGUGGCUUGAUAAGCCGGUUGUGAAAGCCCCGCGCUCAACCUGGGAACGGCAUCCGGAACUGUCAAGCUAGAGUGCAGGAGAGGAAGGUAGAAUUCCCGGUGUAGCGGUGAAAUGCGUAGAGAUCGGGAGGAAUACCAGUGGCGAAGGCGGCCUUCUGGACUGACACUGACACUGAGGUGCGAAAGCGUGGGUAGCAAACAGGAUUAGAUACCCCGGUAGUC